Pygoscelis adeliae (Adelie penguin) is the source of this 412-nucleotide long non-coding RNA. RefSeq lists it as uncharacterized. The transcript has 3 exons. Lineage: Eukaryota; Metazoa; Chordata; Aves; Sphenisciformes; Spheniscidae. The record is from RefSeq and is a predicted model, not a curated record.
GAGAGCGAUGCCUGGCCCCACCGGAGAGCUUUCAGCCCGGAAUUUCCUCUGGAUGAGUGGGAACCGUCAGCAAUAACCAGGAAAGCCAGCCAGUCCAUCAGUGAGCUCUCUCGCUACCAACUGGGCUUCCCGAGGCUCGGCCCCUUCCGCCCCUGCUUUGAGAGCACCGAGCUGGAGUGGCCGCCCUGCUACCGGGCCACGUCCACGCACGACCUCUCAUGGGAUGGUGACCGCCUGGCCCGCUCCCCCGAGAGCCCCCCGGACCCCCUGCACCGCCCACUGCGGGGCAGAGCCUUCUCCGAGAGCCACCUCAACCUGGAGCCCCCCAGCCCCCGGGGCCUCGACCGGAGGAACCUUCUCCGUGCCAAGCUGGACCCCCCUGGAGUCCCCAAAAAGAAGGGCCCACCACCUC